GCUUGUCUCAAAGAUUAAGCCAUGCACGUCUAAGUAUAAGCGAUUAUACUGUGAAACUGCGAAUGGCUCAUUAUAUCAGUUAUAGUUUAUUUGAUGGUCCUUGCUACUUGGAUAACCGUAGUAAUUCUAGAGCUAAUACAUGCGCAAAUACCCAACUGCUUGUCGGACGGGUAGCAUUUAUUAGAUUGAAACCAAUGCAGUCUUCGGGCUGGUAUUGUGUUGAGUCAUAAUAACUGUGCGGAUCGCGUUUUACGCGAUAAAUCGAUUGAGUUUCUGCCCUAUCAGCUUUGGAUGGUAGGGUAUUGGCCUACCAUGGCUUUAACGGGUAACGGAGAAUUAGGGUUCGAUUCCGGAGAGGGAGCCUGAGAAACGGCUACCACAUCCAAGGAAGGCAGCAGG
This 399-nucleotide ribosomal RNA is filed under the name uncultured Peronosporales. RNAcentral's name for it is "partial small subunit ribosomal RNA". It matches the Rfam family "Eukaryotic small subunit ribosomal RNA", at positions 30 to 432 of the family's 1831-position model. Lineage: Eukaryota; Oomycota; Peronosporomycetes; Peronosporales. The record is from RNAcentral.